GACGAACGCUGGCGGCGUGCCUAAUACAUGCAAGUAGAACGCUGAAGGAGGAGCUUGCUUCUCUGGAUGAGUUGCGAACGGGUGAGUAACGCGUAGGUAACCUGCCUGGUAGCGGGGGAUAACUAUUGGAAACGAUAGCUAAUACCGCAUAAUAGCAGUUGUUGCAUGAUAACUGUUUGAAAGGUGCAAUUGCACCACUACCAGAUGGACCUGCGUUGUAUUAGCUAGUUGGUGGGGUAACGGCUCACCAAGGCGACGAUACAUAGCCGACCUGAGAGGGGGAUCGGCCACACUGGGACUGAGACACGGCCCAGACUCCUACGGGAGGCAGCAGUAGGGAAUCUUCGGCAAUGGACGGAAGUCUGACCGAGCAACGCCGCGUGAGUGAAGAAGGUUUUCGGAUCGUAAAGCUCUGUUGUAAGAGAAGAACGAGUGUGAGAGUGGAAAGUUCACACUGUGACGGUAGCUUACCAGAAAGGGACGGCUAACUACGUG
Molecule: ribosomal RNA, 495 nt
Filed under: uncultured bacterium
Lineage: Bacteria
Description: partial 16S ribosomal RNA
Rfam family: Bacterial small subunit ribosomal RNA
Source: RNAcentral